UGGUUACAUACAUGGAGAAUCAGGUUACAAUGGUUACAUGCAUGGGGAAUCAGGUUACAAUGGUUACAUACAUGGAGAAUGAGGGUUACAAUGGUUACAUGCAUGGGAAAUCAGGUUACAAUGGUUACAUGCAUGGGGAAGUCGGUUUACAAUGGUUACAUACAUGGAGAAUCAGGUUACAAUGGUUACAUGCAUGGGGAAGUUGAGUUACAAUGGUUACAUG
Mytilus californianus (California mussel) is the source of this 223-nucleotide long non-coding RNA. RefSeq lists it as uncharacterized. The record is from RefSeq and is a predicted model, not a curated record. The transcript has 3 exons. NCBI's taxonomy places the organism in Eukaryota, Metazoa, Mollusca, Bivalvia, Mytilida, Mytilidae.